CCUCGUAGUGCAACGGAUAGAACGCAAGCCUCCGAAGCUUGAAAUGCAGGUUCGAUUCCUGCCGAGGGCAUUACCA
Molecule: transfer RNA, 76 nt
Filed under: Peribacillus butanolivorans
Lineage: Bacteria; Bacillati; Bacillota; Bacilli; Caryophanales; Bacillaceae
Description: Bacillus butanolivorans tRNA-Arg
Rfam family: tRNA
About the family: Transfer RNA (tRNA) molecules are approximately 80 nucleotides in length. Their secondary structure includes four short double-helical elements and three loops (D, anti-codon, and T loops).
Source: RNAcentral